RNAcentral lists this ribosomal RNA (116 nucleotides) under Noturus exilis (slender madtom). RNAcentral describes it as "partial 16S ribosomal RNA". The record is from RNAcentral. Lineage: Eukaryota; Metazoa; Chordata; Actinopteri; Siluriformes; Ictaluridae.
GAGCUAAACAGCUAGCUUAACCACCUAAAUAUCUAAAACAACAUUAAAAUAUCUUAAAAACCCACAAUAUUCUAAAUUAAAACAUUUUACCGCCCCAGUAUGUGUGACAGAAAAGG